CGUGUAGGCGGCCUCUUAAGUCUGAUGUGAAAGCCCGGGGCUUACCCCCGGAAGGGCAUUGGAAACUGGGAAGCUAGAGUACCGGAGAGGAAGGUGGAAUUCCUGGUGUAGCGGUGAAAUGCGUAGAUAUCAGGAGGAACACCGGUGGCGAAGGCGGCCUUCUGGACGGAUACUGACGCUGAGACGCGAAAGCGUGGGGAGCAAACAGGAUUAGAUACCCUGGUAGUCCACGCCGUAAACGAUGGGCACUAGGUGUUCGGGGUAUUGACCCCCUGAGUGCCGCAGCUAACGCAUUAAGUGCCCCGCCUGGGGACUACGGCCGCAAGGUUAAA
RNAcentral lists this ribosomal RNA (332 nucleotides) under uncultured bacterium. RNAcentral's name for it is "bacterial SSU rRNA". It matches the Rfam family "Bacterial small subunit ribosomal RNA", at positions 568 to 898 of the family's 1533-position model. The record is from RNAcentral.